Molecule: RNA transcript, 4092 nt
Organism: Aegilops tauschii subsp. strangulata
Lineage: Eukaryota; Viridiplantae; Streptophyta; Magnoliopsida; Poales; Poaceae
Source: RefSeq, a predicted model, not a curated record
GCCAUCCACAUCGGCUAUGAGCAGUUAGCAAGCGGGCAGCAAGAGCGAGCGGGCAGCGAGAGAAAAAGGGUACACGUCCGCUGCGAGAGAAAAUAUCUCGUCUCUCUCCCGAGCGGGCAGCGAGAGAAAAAGGGUACACGUCCGCUGCGAGAGAAAAUAUCUCGUCUCUCUCCCUUCUCCGUUCUCAUCCGACUCCUCUUCUCCAUGCCGCCGUCGCCUCCUCCUCUUCCCCGUCCCUCACGGCCUCCUCGCCCGCUCCGCCUUCAGCACCUCUUCCUCCCCUUCCUCUCCUCCUUCCCUGCCUCCGGUUCCAGGCAUGGAGGGAUGAACCCGGAGAGCUGCAGCCGGUGGAUGCCGCGACGGACGGGGAGGCGAUGGUGAAGGGGAGUUUCGGUCAAGUGGAAUCUGAUGGGUUGCAGGGCGAGGAGCAGGGAGUAGCCUGGCGUAGAUACAGAAUAUCGGCCUCUCCCCACGACCCACCUCUCCCACCAGAGCACAACUAGUCAUCUAGGGUUUGGAUGGGUCUGGGUACCUACAACGAUGGCAGUAGAGGCGACAAAGACCACUUUGCAACCUCGCUGAACUGUGUUACUGAACUGAAAGUUUAGGGACGGCAGUAGUUCUACCACCGAUGGUGUUGCAUGUAAGCUGGAUGUUCUCAUUGUUCUGUUGGCUCUGAUCGGUGAUGCAGGAUGUGAGGUACAACUAUCAAAGUGACAUUAAUUUUGGUUUUGCUUCCUAUCCGCAGCCUCUUCUACACUAGAAAAGGAAAACACUCGACGAUCUGGCUCUGUCUCAGGUAUAUGCUCCCUCGCCCGCAAGAUCCGCUCUCUCCCAUCUAUGCAUCACGGCAACACUUCAGCUCCUCUUAUGGAUUCUCACCAGAUCAGGCCACCUCACUCACCUUCAGGUAAACCUUGAGCGACGACACAGUAUGUUUUCGCGAACUAAUCUUCUUUAGUCAACCUAUCGAUCCUUGUUGCGUGUGCUUCUUAAUCGACAUGUGAACAAUCUGUUGAUGCAUGGAAAUACAUGCUGAUCUCCUAUUUUCUUGCUGCCUUCAAGAUAGUAUAUGCAUGAAUCUUGUUCAACUACAACAACUUGAAAGCCCUGUUAUUCUCAGAAAAAUUAUCAUCUACGGUUGUAUGCAUAUGCCUCUUGAUAUUUACCAGCUCUCCUUUAAGAUUUCCUAACUAGCAUACAUAUCCUAGCUAAAACAUAAGAGUUCGAAUUUGUACAUGUGAACUGCACAUUAAGUUACUAUCACCAUUGUUUAACAACACUGUUAAUUAUGACUCAAGUUUGUAAACAGUCAUCCAUACCAUAGGUACGUACGUUAAUGCAGAAGCACUACUAUUGAAUUAGAUGUAGUAACUGCGUCAUUCUGAACAUUUUAGCAAGUUCAUGCAUUAACCGCUUAGGGUCCAUCGAUGAAACAAAACCAAUCAUAUGAAUUGAAGGAGCUACUGAAAUAAAAUGGAAAGAACAAAGAGAAAAUUGAAGGUUAUCUAUAUGAAAAUUCAGAGAAUGGGAUAGGAGAGGUGGUUCUUCCCAAUAGGAAAAAGAGUGGAGUAUAGUACUGUUAUCCUGCCUUUUCUACUACAAUCCCAGUUAGCAUAAUAAUGUGACAUGGAAAAUCAUAUUAUCGAUUCAAUUAUGAUUCAAGCAACAUGAACAAUUAUCCAUGAAAUUCACUUCUAAACCCUGGUUUUAUUUAGUUUUAACUUCAGGAUAGGCAUUUACUGUAUUGUAAUUGCCAGACUUUCAAAAUUCUACUAUUACCAUUGUUUAACAACACCCUUUUUGUCACGGGAAAAUAAUAGAUGGAUAAACGUCUCAAAUCAUACACUAUGAAGCUUCCAACACUUGCUUACAGUGUCUUUCUUGUGUAAUCAGUCUGUCGUGAUGGACAAAGUUAAGAUCCCAACAAAAAGUGCUUCUUGAUACUAUGAUGCAGCAACUUAACCUUCCAAAUUGCAGUUUACUAAACAGAAAGUGCUUCUUGAUGCUAUGAUACAACUUCUUGAUGCUAUGAUGCAGAAACUUUAUGCUAUGGGCAAGUGAUUCAUGCUGCUCUUGGUUCUUCUGUACACUUGAAAUAAGGAACAAUAUUCCAAAGUAUGAUAGUGUUUGGUUAAAACAUAUACCUUAGUCCAUUACUUCAGUUUCUUCUUCUGAAGUUAUGUUUUGCUUUUCUACUUCUUUGCUCUGCUUUACACAAUUUACAUGGCUUUCGAGUCCUUUUAUUUAGGAGCAGGGAAAAACCUCUAAUUGUUAACUUUGUAUUUUCGCACUGACUAGCGCAUAUCUUGCCUAAGCGCAGGCUUAAGCAAUGUGUUUUGUUCUGCCCUAGCGCCUAGGUGCUUACACCCUUUCCCCCUACUGAUUUAAGAGGUGUGGAGAUUUUUUAAGGAGGUGUUGCUCGCUUUGUUGUUCAGAUCACAGAAGAAUUGCCAGGACCUCACCGGCAGAUCCCUCAGCUAUCAGGGAAAGCAGCCAUCAGCGGAGAUUGAGGCUGCCUCUCCGGCGAGAGUGCUCGUGUCGUGGUGGUUUCCCACCAGCGGCAUGGGGGAGGCGGUGUCCUCCGCAGCUAGGUCUACUUGCUGGCGACCUCACCGUCACCAGCCCAUCUGCAGGUAUGCUAGCUCCUCUUCUAUUAAUGCAAAAAGGAGAUGCUCAAAUGGAUUGAGUGGUACCCUCCUGAAAGUAUUGUAGGGAUGGACAUAUGGAUUGAUUGGUAGGCCCCUGAAAGCUACACAGAUCUGAACCAAUAACUUUAAUAAGAAUGUGUAUCCCAGCUCCUUUUAUAAUCUUGAAUCCUUCUCGGUCCUACUAAACUGUAACUCAUGUUUAUUUUUGGAAACAAUAUUUUGGACAUUCCUAACCUGGUCAAGGGAAUGUAUUGCCCACCUACAGUGAGAGACACAUACGAAGUAGGUCCUACUAAACACCUAAAAGGAUGAGUUACAGUAGGUGUGCAUAGAGUACUAACAUUUUUGCUAUCUUUAUGCUCCUCCAUAUGGAUGGGAACUAAAAGGAUGAUGAUAUUAUUCUACCUUUCAAUAUUUGGUGGCGCAUAUUUAAGAAAAUCACAGCUAAGCAUGUCACUUUCUAAAAAGACGCUUGACUGGAAUGUAUAUGUAUGUAGUUAAUAAAAUCAUAGUGACUGAUUGUUCAGUUCCUCUGUUUAGAUUAGAGGUGUCUGCAUGCAUCCAAGUGAUCGGUCUUUCCAGCUCAAAAGAGAAAGUGACCGAUGUUUUGGCAUAUUUUCCUAUUAGGAAUAAAUGGACAUGCCCAUGCACGUAUGCACACAGAUUUCAGGUUACAGUUUAAUUAGGAAACAGAUGAUACCUCAUUGUGUCGUCUUGGUCUAAGAAGAGGGGAUAUACUUGGUGAAUAUAUAUGUUCCACCCGACCGUUAAUUUCAGAGAAAAGGACAUGCACUUCAAUAGCAAAAAUUUGAUUGUUAUGUACUAUCUGUAAUGCUAAGCAUUUAUUUGCUAAUAUCUCCUCAUCUGAAUUUGUAUUUUGUGCCAUUUGGCCUUUUAACUAUAUGGGCAUCUGCAGAUGGUCUGAAAACCAAGAUAUGCCACAGAUAAUAACUAUAUGGGCUGCUCCAGAUGGACUAAGAAUGGAACCAUAUCCUAGGCCUACAUGCUAAUAUUGUACAUCAAUGAAUAUCUUCACUUAUUUAUACUUAAUCAGUUGUGUAAUAAUAAGCGUGAUAUUAGCUUUCGUACCCAUCUUCAUGGUUGAAAUACUUUUCUGCAAUCUGUGACACAUUUGCUUCAGUUUCCAUAUGUCUUGCUUCAUGCUAUCAACAUUGUUAAUCAUUUAUCUUUAUCUUUCUUUCCCUUUACAGCCUACUUGAAUGGAUAUGGUUCCUGAGAGACCAUUUCUUAUGCAUCAGGUCCUGAAGGUGGAUGUUGCUUGUUUAGAUAUCUAUGAUUACAAAUUAUUCAAAACGGUUCAUGUUAUACUGGAUGCUAUUUUAUUGAGAGUGGCUUCGAACAAUAUGGCAUGAACAUAUUUGUUUUCUCUUUGGCCAAUAAUGAAAUGAUCUUUGUGCAUAUAAAAUGGUUAUCGAUACCA